RNAcentral lists this ribosomal RNA (468 nucleotides) under uncultured bacterium. Its description in RNAcentral is "partial 16S ribosomal RNA". It matches the Rfam family "Bacterial small subunit ribosomal RNA", at positions 28 to 507 of the family's 1533-position model. The record is from RNAcentral.
GACGAACGCUGGCGGCGUGCUUAACACAUGCAAGUCGAACGGAAAGGCCCUGCUUUUGUGGGGUGCUCGAGUGGCGAACGGGUGAGUAACACGUGAGUAACCUGCCCUUGACUUUGGGAUAACUUCAGGAAACUGGGGCUAAUACCGGAUAGGAGCUCCUGCUGCAUGGUGGGGGUUGGAAAGUUUCGGCGGUUGGGGAUGGACUCGCGGCUUAUCAGCUUGUUGGUGGGGUAGUGGCUUACCAAGGCUUCGAAGGGUAGCCGGCCUGAGAGGGUGACCGGCCACAUUGCGACUGAGAUACGGCCCAGACUCCUACGGGAGGCAGCAGUGGGGAAUAUUGCACAAUGGGCGGAAGCCUGAUGCAGCAACGCCGCGUGCGGGAUGACGGCCUUCGGGUUGUAAACCGCUUUCGCCUGUGACGAAGCGUGAGUGACGGUAAUGGGUAAAGAAGCCCCGGCUAACUACGUG